UGGGGAAUAUUGGGCAAUGGGGGCAACCCUGAUCCAGCAAUGCCGCGUGAGUGAUGAAGGCCUUAGGGUUGUAAAGCUCUUUUACCGGGGACGAUGAUGACGGUACCCGGAGAAUAAGCCCCGGCUAACUUCGUGCCAGCAGCCGCGGUAAUACGAAGGGGGCGAGCGUUGUUCGGAAUUACUGGGCGUAAAGGGCGCGUAGGCGGCGACCCAAGUCAGAUGUGAAAGUCCUGGGCUUAACCUGGGGACUGCAUUUGAUACUGGGUUGCUUGAAUUCGGGAGAGGAUAGCGGAAUUCCCAGUGUAGAGGUGAAAUUCGUAGAUAUUGGGAAGAACACCGGUGGCGAAGGCGGCUAUCUGGACCGACAUUGACGCUGAGGCGCGAAAGCGUGGGGAGCAAACA
This 402-nucleotide ribosomal RNA is filed under the name uncultured soil bacterium. Its description in RNAcentral is "bacterial SSU rRNA". It matches the Rfam family "Bacterial small subunit ribosomal RNA", at positions 355 to 774 of the family's 1533-position model. The record is from RNAcentral.